Molecule: ribosomal RNA, 743 nt
Filed under: uncultured bacterium
Lineage: Bacteria
Description: bacterial SSU rRNA
Rfam family: Bacterial small subunit ribosomal RNA
Source: RNAcentral
GUCGAACGGGGUCUUAGUACGGAAGUUUUCGGAUGGAAGGAUUAAGACUUAGUGGCGGACGGGUGAGUAACGCGUGGGUAACCUGCCCUGUACAGGGGGAUAACAGUUGGAAACGGCUGCUAAAACCGCAUAACAUGGAGAUACCGCAUGAUAUUUCCAUCAAAUAUUUAUAGGUACAGGAUGGGCCCGCGUCUGAUUAGCCAGUUGGCAGGGUAAUGGCCUACCAAAGCGACGAUCAGUAGCCGGCUUGAGAGAGUGACCGGCCACAUUGGGACUGAGACACGGCCCAAACUCCUACGGGAGGCAGCAGUGGGGGAUAUUGCACAAUGGGGGAAACCCUGAUGCAGCGACGCCGCGUGAGUGAAGAAGUAUUUCGGUAUGUAAAGCUCUAUCGGCAGGGAAGAAAAAAAUGACAGUACCUGACUAAGAAGCCCCGGCUAACUACGUGCCAGCAGCCGCGGUAAUACGUAGGGGGCAAGCGUUAUCCGGAUUUACUGGGUGUAAAGGGAGCGUAGGCGGCCAUGCAAGUCAGAAGUGGAAACCCGGGGCUCAACCCUGGGAGUGCUUUUGAAACUGUGCGGCUAGAGUGUCGGAGGGGUAAGUGGAAUUCCUAGUGUAGCGGUGAAAUGCGUAGAUAUUAGGAGGAACACCAGUGGCGAAGGCGGCUUACUGGACGAUGACUGACGCUGAGGCUCGAAAGCGUGGGGAGCAAACAGGACUAGAUACCCUGGUAGUCCAUGCCG